ACGAACGCUGGCGGCGUGCUUAACACCUGCCAGUCGCACGGAAAGGCCCUGCUUUUGUGGGGUGCUCGCGUGGCGAACGGGUGAGUAACACGUGAGUAACCUGCCCUUGACUUUGGGAUAACUUCAGGAAACUGGGGCUAAUACCGGAUAGGAGCUCCUGCUGCAUGGUGGGGGUUGGAAAGUUUCGGCGGUUGGGGAUGGACUCGCGGCUUAUCAGCUUGUUGGUGGGGUAGUGGCUUACCAAGGCUUUGACGGGUAGCCGGCCUGAGAGGGUGACCGGCCACAUUGGGACUGAGAUACGGCCCAGACUCCUACGGGAGGCAGCAGUGGGGAAUAUUGCACAAUGGGCGGAAGCCUGAUGCAGCAACGCCGCGUGCGGGAUGACGGCCUUCGGGUUGUAAACCGCUUUCGCCUGUGACGAAGCGUGAGUGACGGUAAUGGGUAAAGAAGCACCGGCUAACUACGUG
This 467-nucleotide ribosomal RNA is filed under the name uncultured bacterium. RNAcentral's name for it is "partial 16S ribosomal RNA". It matches the Rfam family "Bacterial small subunit ribosomal RNA", at positions 29 to 507 of the family's 1533-position model. The record is from RNAcentral.